Molecule: unclassified non-coding RNA, 313 nt
Filed under: plant metagenome
Description: partial contains 5.8S ribosomal RNA, internal transcribed spacer 2, and large subunit ribosomal RNA
Rfam family: 5.8S ribosomal RNA (bases 1-103)
Source: RNAcentral
ACUGCGAUAAGUAAUGUGAAUUGCAGAAUUCAGUGAAUCAUCGAGUCUUUGAACGCACAUUGCGCCCCCUGGCAUUCCGGGGGGCAUGCCUGUCCGAGCGUCAUUGCUGCCCUCAAGCCCGGCUUGUGUGUUGGGUCGUCGUCCCCCCCGGGGGACGGGCCCGAAAGGCAGCGGCGGCACCGUGUCCGGUCCUCGAGCGUAUGGGGCUUUGUCACCCGCUCGAUUAGGGCCGGCCGGGCGCCAGCCGGCGUCUCCAACCUUAUUUUUCUCAGGUUGACCUCGGAUCAGGUAGGGAUACCCGCUGAACUUAAGC